GUUUCAAUUCCUCAUAGGCAGGCUAUCGGCGUCAAAAAAUGAAGGGAGGAAGUCCCCGCUGGACUUG
RNAcentral lists this small RNA (67 nucleotides) under Acididesulfobacillus acetoxydans. Its description in RNAcentral is "Peptococcaceae bacterium INE non-coding RNA". The record is from RNAcentral. Lineage: Bacteria; Bacillati; Bacillota; Clostridia; Eubacteriales; Peptococcaceae.